GAUGAACGCUGGCGGCGUGUCUAAUACAUGCAAGUCGAGCGAACGGACGAGAAGCUUGCUUCUCUGAUGUUAGCGGCGGACGGGAGAGUAACACGUGGAUAACCUACCUAUAAGACUGGGAUAACUUCGGGAAACCGUAGCUAAUACCGGAUAAUAUUUUGAACCGCAUGGUUCAAAAGUGAAAGACGGUCUUGCUGUCACUUAUAGAUGGAUCCGCGCUGCAUUAGCUAGUUGGUAAGGUAACGGCUUACCAAGGCAACGAUGCAUAGCCGACCUGAGAGGGUGAUCGGCCACACUGGAACUGAGACACGGUCCAGACUCCUACGGGAGGCAGCAGUAGGGAAUCUUCCGCAAUGGGCGAAAGCCUGACGGAGCAACGCCGCGUGAGUGAUGAAGGUCUUCGGAUCGUAAAACUCUGCUAUUAGGGAAGAACAUAUGUGUAAGUAACUGUGCACAUCUUGACGGUACCUAAUCAGAAAGCCACGGCUAACUACGUG
This 497-nucleotide ribosomal RNA is filed under the name uncultured bacterium. RNAcentral's name for it is "partial 16S ribosomal RNA". It matches the Rfam family "Bacterial small subunit ribosomal RNA", at positions 28 to 507 of the family's 1533-position model. The record is from RNAcentral.